This is a long non-coding RNA of Conger conger (European conger), 144 nucleotides long. RefSeq lists it as uncharacterized. Lineage: Eukaryota; Metazoa; Chordata; Actinopteri; Anguilliformes; Congridae. The transcript is spliced from 2 exons. The record is from RefSeq and is a predicted model, not a curated record.
GCUCUCGGCACCUCCAGCCUCCAGCUCCACGCCCCGUCUCCAGACUCAGGUUUCAACAUUACCGCACUGCUGAUUAGUGCUGCUGCUGUAGUUGGCGCCAUUGUGACUAUAUGCCUCAUCAUGAAGACCAUUCAAAAGCAGGGG